Long non-coding RNA from Prionailurus viverrinus (fishing cat), 579 nucleotides. RefSeq lists it as uncharacterized. The record is from RefSeq and is a predicted model, not a curated record. NCBI's taxonomy places the organism in Eukaryota, Metazoa, Chordata, Mammalia, Carnivora, Felidae. The transcript has 5 exons.
CAUAAAUUUUAGUCCAGAAGGAUUAAAGACUUUGUGACAUCAUAAAGAGAAAUCCACCAUUAGCUCUUGAAAAUUUUUCCUUAACCAUGGUCUCUUGGAAAUAUUACCUUUAUGAUUGUAGUUAGUCUUAUAAGAUCCCCCAUACAGAAGCCAUAGUGAAAGCUGGAGCAAGGUGCUAUUGCAAAUAUGAAGGGCGACAUGAGGAUGUGGACUUCCCACUCAUGCAGCUUAUUCAUGUCCUCUGUGUUUUGUUCCAAGCCUGGAUAUUUUGCUUCUGAAUCUGUCCACCUCUGACUUGAUAUUCCAGCCCUUACAUGAGUGUCAACUAUAUGCUCCAUUCGUCAUCAGUAUCAUCAUCAGUAAUUACAUGCUGCAAUCAGUAUUCAUUCACCUCCAAAAGAGACUAGGUAUAGGUGUUCUCUACAUUUUUAUGAGAAAUGAACAGCACUUUCAUUAUAGAAAAAAAAAGAGAAAAUGUUAAAAUUCGAAAUGAAGAAGUUAUCCAUGGAAUUCUUACAUUGCUAAAAGAGAGAAGGCAAGAGCAACAAGAUAAAAACAUAAAUAAAAACAAAUACCAAG